RNAcentral lists this transfer RNA (73 nucleotides) under Bos indicus x Bos taurus (hybrid cattle). It matches the Rfam family "tRNA". From Rfam's summary of the family: Transfer RNA (tRNA) molecules are approximately 80 nucleotides in length. Their secondary structure includes four short double-helical elements and three loops (D, anti-codon, and T loops). Lineage: Eukaryota; Metazoa; Chordata; Mammalia; Artiodactyla; Bovidae. The record is from Rfam by way of RNAcentral.
UCCCUCAUGAUCCAGUAGUUAGGAUAUGGCACUUUCACUGCCAAGGGCACAGGUUCAAUUCCAGGUCAGGGAA